This 1372-nucleotide ribosomal RNA is filed under the name uncultured bacterium. RNAcentral describes it as "bacterial SSU rRNA". It matches the Rfam family "Bacterial small subunit ribosomal RNA", at positions 28 to 1381 of the family's 1533-position model. The record is from RNAcentral.
GAUGAACGCUGGCGGCGUGCCUAAUACAUGCAAGUCGAGCGAACGGACGAGAAGCUUGCUUCUCUGAUGUUAGCGGCGGACGGGUGAGUAACACGUGGAUAACCUACCUAUAAGACUGGGAUAACUUCGGGAAACCGGAGCUAAUACCGGAUAAUAUUUUGAACCGCAUGGUUCAAAAGUGAAAGACGGUCUUGCUGUCACUUAUAGAUGGAUCCGCGCUGCAUUAGCUAGUUGGUAAGGUAACGGCUUACCAAGGCAACGAUGCAUAGCCGACCUGAGAGGGUGAUCGGCCACACUGGAACUGAGACACGGUCCAGACUCCUACGGGAGGCAGCAGUAGGGAAUCUUCCGCAAUGGGCGAAAGCCUGACGGAGCAACGCCGCGUGAGUGAUGAAGGUCUUCGGAUCGUAAAACUCUGUUAUUAGGGAAGAACAUAUGUGUAAGUAACUGUGCACAUCUUGACGGUACCUAAUUAGAAAGCCACGGCUAACUACGUGCCAGCAGCCGCGGUAAUACGUAGGUGGCAAGCGUUAUCCGGAAUUAUUGGGCGUAAAGCGCGCGUAGGCGGUUUUUUAAGUCUGAUGUGAAAGCCCACGGCUCAACCGUGGAGGGUCAUUGGAAACUGGAAAACUUGAGUGCAGAAGGGGAAAGUGGAAUUCCAUGUGUAGCGGUGAAAUGCGCAGAGAUAUGGAGGAACACCAGUGGCGAAGGCGACUUUCUGGUCUGUAACUGACGCUGAUGUGCGAAAGCGUGGGGAUCAAACAGGAUUAGAUACCCUGGUAGUCCACGCCGUAAACGAUGAGUGCUAAGUGUUAGGGGGUUUCCGCCCCUUAGUGCUGCAGCUAACGCAUUAAGCACUCCGCCUGGGGAGUACGACCGCAAGGUUGAAACUCAAAGGAAUUGACGGGGACCCGCACAAGCGGUGGAGCAUGUGGUUUAAUUCGAAGCAACGCGAAGAACCUUACCAAAUCUUGACAUCCUUUGACAACUCUAGAGAUAGAGCCUUCCCCUUCGGGGGACAAAGUGACAGGUGGUGCAUGGUUGUCGUCAGCUCGUGUCGUGAGAUGUUGGGUUAAGUCCCGCAACGAGCGCAACCCUUAAGCUUAGUUGCCAUCAUUAAGUUGGGCACUCUAAGUUGACUGCCGGUGACAAACCGGAGGAAGGUGGGGAUGACGUCAAAUCACCAUGCCCCUUAUGAUUUGGGCUACACACGUGCUACAAUGGACAAUACAAAGGGCAGCGAAACCGCGAGGUCAAGCAAAUCCCAUAAAGUUGUUCUCAGUUCGGAUUGUAGUCUGCAACUCGACUACAUGAAGCUGGAAUCGCUAGUAAUCGUAGAUCAGCAUGCUACGGUGAAUACGUUCCCGGGUCU